Molecule: ribosomal RNA, 495 nt
Filed under: uncultured bacterium
Lineage: Bacteria
Description: partial 16S ribosomal RNA
Rfam family: Bacterial small subunit ribosomal RNA
Source: RNAcentral
GACGAACGCUGGCGGCGUGCCUAAUACAUGCAAGUAGAACGCUGAAGGAGGAGCUUGCUUCUCUGGAUGAGUUGCGAACGGGUGGGUAACGCGUAGGUAACCUGCCUGGUAGCGGGGGAUAACUAUUGGAAACGAUAGCUAAUACCGCAUAAGAGUAGAUGUUGCAUGACAUUUGCUUAAAAGGUGCAAUUGCAUCACUACCAGAUGGACCUGCGUUGUAUUAGCUAGUUGGUGGGGUAACGGCUCACCAAGGCGACGAUACAUAGCCGACCUGAGAGGGUGAUCCGCCACACUGGGACUGAGACACGGCCCAGACUCCUACGGGAGGCAGCAGUAGGGAAUCUUCGGCAAUGGACGGAAGUCUGACCGAGCAACGCCGGGUGAGUGAAGAAGGUUUUCGGAUCGUAAAGCUCUGUUGUAAGAGAAGAACGAGUGUGAGAGUGGAAAGUUCACACUGUGACGGUAUCUUACCAGAAAGGGACGGCUAACUACGUG